UUAUAUGAUUUUGGACGACCGUCUUGGA
RNAcentral lists this non-coding RNA (28 nucleotides) under Bombyx mori (domestic silkworm). The record is from RNAcentral. Lineage: Eukaryota; Metazoa; Arthropoda; Insecta; Lepidoptera; Bombycidae.